UUAAGCGACUAAGCGUACACGGUGGAUGCCCUGGCAGUCAGAGGCGAUGAAGGACGUGCUAAUCUGCGAUAAGCGUCGGUAAGGUGAUAUGAACCGUUAUAACCGGCGAUUUCCGAAUGGGGAAACCCAGUGUGUUUCGACACACUAUCAUUAACUGAAUCCAUAGGUUAAUGAGGCGAACCGGGGGAACUGAAACAUCUAAGUACCCCGAGGAAAAGAAAUCAACCGAGAUUCCCCCAGUAGCGGCGAGCGAACGGGGAGCAGCCCAGAGCCUGAAUCAGUGUGUGUGUUAGUGGAAGCGUCUGGAAAGGCGCGCGAUACAGGGUGACAGCCCCGUACACAAAAAUGCACAUGCUGUGAGCUCGAUGAGUAGGGCGGGACACGUGGUAUCCUGUCUGAAUAUGGGGGGACCAUCCUCCAAGGCUAAAUACUCCUGACUGACCGAUAGUGAACCAGUACCGUGAGGGAAAGGCGAAAAGAACCCCGGCGAGGGGAGUGAAAAAGAACCUGAAACCGUGUACGUACAAGCAGUGGGAGCACGCUUAGGCGUGUGACUGCGUACCUUUUGUAUAAUGGGUCAGCGACUUAUAUUCUGUAGCAAGGUUAACCGAAUAGGGGAGCCGAAGGGAAACCGAGUCUUAACUGGGCGUUAAGUUGCAGGGUAUAGACCCGAAACCCGGUGAUCUAGCCAUGGGCAGGUUGAAGGUUGGGUAACACUAACUGGAGGACCGAACCGACUAAUGUUGAAAAAUUAGCGGAUGACUUGUGGCUGGGGGUGAAAGGCCAAUCAAACCGGGAGAUAGCUGGUUCUCCCCGAAAGCUAUUUAGGUAGCGCCUCGUGAAUUCAUCUCCGGGGGUAGAGCACUGUUUCGGCAAGGGGGUCAUCCCGACUUACCAACCCGAUGCAAACUGCGAAUACCGGAGAAUGUUAUCACGGGAGACACACGGCGGGUGCUAACGUCCGUCGUGAAGAGGGAAACAACCCAGACCGCCAGCUAAGGUCCCAAAGUCAUGGUUAAGUGGGAAACGAUGUGGGAAGGCCCAGACAGCCAGGAUGUUGGCUUAGAAGCAGCCAUCAUUUAAAGAAAGCGUAAUAGCUCACUGGUCGAGUCGGCCUGCGCGGAAGAUGUAACGGGGCUAAACCAUGCACCGAAGCUGCGGCAGCGACGCUGAUGCGUUGUUGGGUAGGGGAGCGUUCUGUAAGCCUGCGAAGGUGUGCUGUGAGGCAUGCUGGAGGUAUCAGAAGUGCGAAUGCUGACAUAAGUAACGAUAAAGCGGGUGAAAAGCCCGCUCGCCGGAAGACCAAGGGUUCCUGUCCAACGUUAAUCGGGGCAGGGUGAGUCGACCCCUAAGGCGAGGCCGAAAGGCGUAGUCGAUGGGAAACAGGUUAAUAUUCCUGUACUUGGUGUUACUGCGAAGGGGGGACGGAGAAGGCUAUGUUGGCCGGGCGACGGUUGUCCCGGUUUAAGCGUGUAGGCUGGUUUUCCAGGCAAAUCCGGAAAAUCAAGGCUGAGGCGUGAUGACGAGGCACUACGGUGCUGAAGCAACAAAUGCCCUGCUUCCAGGAAAAGCCUCUAAGCAUCAGGUAACAUCAAAUCGUACCCCAAACCGACACAGGUGGUCAGGUAGAGAAUACCAAGGCGCUUGAGAGAACUCGGGUGAAGGAACUAGGCAAAAUGGUGCCGUAACUUCGGGAGAAGGCACGCUGAUAUGUAGGUGAAGUCCCUUGCGGAUGGAGCUGAAAUCAGUCGAAGAUACCAGCUGGCUGCAACUGUUUAUUAAAAACACAGCACUGUGCAAACACGAAAGUGGACGUAUACGGUGUGACGCCUGCCCGGUGCCGGAAGGUUAAUUGAUGGGGUUAGCCGCAAGGCGAAGCUCUUGAUCGAAGCCCCGGUAAACGGCGGCCGUAACUAUAACGGUCCUAAGGUAGCGAAAUUCCUUGUCGGGUAAGUUCCGACCUGCACGAAUGGCGUAAUGAUGGCCAGGCUGUCUCCACCCGAGACUCAGUGAAAUUGAACUCGCUGUGAAGAUGCAGUGUACCCGCGGCAAGACGGAAAGACCCCGUGAACCUUUACUAUAGCUUGACACUGAACAUUGAGCCUUGAUGUGUAGGAUAGGUGGGAGGCUUUGAAGUGUGGACGCCAGUCUGCAUGGAGCCGACCUUGAAAUACCACCCUUUAAUGUUUGAUGUUCUAACGUUGACCCGUAAUCCGGGUUGCGGACAGUGUCUGGUGGGUAGUUUGACUGGGGCGGUCUCCUCCUAAAGAGUAACGGAGGAGCACGAAGGUUGGCUAAUCCUGGUCGGACAUCAGGAGGUUAGUGCAAUGGCAUAAGCCAGCUUGACUGCGAGCGUGACGGCGCGAGCAGGUGCGAAAGCAGGUCAUAGUGAUCCGGUGGUUCUGAAUGGAAGGGCCAUCGCUCAACGGAUAAAAGGUACUCCGGGGAUAACAGGCUGAUACCGCCCAAGAGUUCAUAUCGACGGCGGUGUUUGGCACCUCGAUGUCGGCUCAUCACAUCCUGGGGCUGAAGUAGGUCCCAAGGGUAUGGCUGUUCGCCAUUUAAAGUGGUACGCGAGCUGGGUUUAGAACGUCGUGAGACAGUUCGGUCCCUAUCUGCCGUGGGCGCUGGAGAACUGAGGGGGGCUGCUCCUAGUACGAGAGGACCGGAGUGGACGCAUCACUGGUGUUCGGGUUGUCAUGCCAAUGGCACUGCCCGGUAGCUAAAUGCGGAAGAGAUAAGUGCUGAAAGCAUCUAAGCACGAAACUUGCCCCGAGAUGAGUUCUCCCUGACCCUUUAAGGGUCCUGAAGGAACGUUGAAGACGACGACGUUGAUAGGCCGGGUGUGUAAGCGCAGCGAUGCGUUGAGCUAACCGGUACUAAUGAACCGUGAGGCUUAACCUU
This 2904-nucleotide ribosomal RNA is filed under the name Escherichia coli. Its description in RNAcentral is "bacterial LSU rRNA". It matches the Rfam family "Bacterial large subunit ribosomal RNA". Lineage: Bacteria; Pseudomonadati; Pseudomonadota; Gammaproteobacteria; Enterobacterales; Enterobacteriaceae. The record is from RNAcentral. RNAcentral also lists the same sequence under 1 other name.